CCUACGGGAGGCAGCAGUGGGGAAUAUUGCACAAUGGGGGAAACCCUGAUGCAGCGACGCCGCGUGAGUGAAGAAGUAUUUCGGUAUGUAAAGCUCUGUCAGCAGGGAAGAAAAUGACGGUACCUGACCAAGAAGCCCCGGAUAACUACGUGCCAGCAGCCGCGGUAAUACGUCGGGGGCAAGCGUUAGCCGGAUUUCCGGGGUGUAAAGGGAGCGUAGACGGCAGGGCAAGUCUGGAGUGAAAGGCGGGGGCUCAACCCCCGGACUACUCUGGAAACUGCCAGGCUGGAGUGCAGGAGAGGUAAGUGGAAUUCCUAGUGUAGCGGUGAAAUGCGUAGAUAUUAGGAGGAACACCAGUGGCGAAGGCGGCUUACUGGACUGUAACUGACGUUGAGGCUCGAAAGCGUGGGGAGCAAACAGGAUUAGAUACCCCAGUAGUC
RNAcentral lists this ribosomal RNA (440 nucleotides) under uncultured bacterium. RNAcentral describes it as "partial 16S ribosomal RNA". It matches the Rfam family "Bacterial small subunit ribosomal RNA", at positions 338 to 795 of the family's 1533-position model. The record is from RNAcentral.